CCUACGGGAGGCAGCAGUGGGGAAUAUUGGGCAAUGGGCGCAAGCCUGACCCAGCAACGCCGCGUGAAGGAAGAAGGCUUUCGGGUUGUAAACUUCUUUUAAGAGGGAAGAGCAGAAGACGGUACCUCUUGAAUAAGCCACGGCUAACUACGUGCCAGCAGCCGCGGUAAUACGUAGGUGGCAAGCGUUGUCCGGAGUUACUGGGUGUAAAGGGCGUGCAGCCGGGAAGACAAGUCAGAUGUGAAAUCCCGCGGCUCAACCGCGGAACUGCAUAUGAGACUGUUUUACUAGAGUACCGGAGAGGUCAUCGGAAUUCCUGGAGUAGCGGUGAAAUGCGUAGAUAUAAGGAAGAACACCAGUGGCGAAGGCAGAUGACUGGACGGCAACUGACGGUGAGGCGCGAAAGCGUGGGGAGCAAACAGGAUUAGAUACCCUUGUAGUC
Molecule: ribosomal RNA, 442 nt
Filed under: uncultured bacterium
Lineage: Bacteria
Description: partial 16S ribosomal RNA
Rfam family: Bacterial small subunit ribosomal RNA
Source: RNAcentral